GACGAACGCUGGCGGCGUGCCUAAUACAUGCAAGUAGAACGCUGAAGGAGGAGCUUGCUCUUCUGGAUGAGUUGCGAACGGGUGAGUAACGCGUAGGUAACCUGCCUGGUAGCGGGGGAUAACCAUUGGAAACGAUAGCUAAUACCGCAUAAGAGUAGAUGUUGCAUGACAUUUGCUUAAAAGGUGCAAUUGCAUCACUACCAGAUGGACCUGCGUUGUAUUAGCUAGUUGGUGGGGUAACGGCUCACCAAGGCGACGAUACAUAGCCGACCUGAGAGGGUGAUCGGCCACACUGGGACUGAGACACGGCCCAGACUCCUACGGGAGGCAGCAGUAGGGGAUCUUCGGCAAUGGACGGAAGUCUGACCGAGCAACGCCGCGUGAGUGAAGAAGGUUUUCGGAUCGUAAAGCUCUGUUGUAAGAGAAGAACGAGUGUGAGAGUGGAAAGUUCACACUGUGACGGUAUCUUACCAGAAAGGGACGGCUAACUACGUG
Molecule: ribosomal RNA, 495 nt
Filed under: uncultured bacterium
Lineage: Bacteria
Description: partial 16S ribosomal RNA
Rfam family: Bacterial small subunit ribosomal RNA
Source: RNAcentral